GCUGACUGGCAGUUCCAGAGAGAGAUGCAUGGCAUUAUGUGGAGUGGCUGACUGGCAGUUCCAGAGAGAGAUGCAUGGCAUUAUGUGGAGUGGCUGACUGGCAGUUCCAGAGAGAUGGUUGUAUGAGGGAGAGAGAUGCAUGGCUGAGGAAGACUACUGCUGCCACACACACACACACACACACACGACAAAACCUGGAAAGAGCUGAACACGCUCACAAAUCACCAAUCAAUACAAUUGAAAUAGUUGCUUGAAUUUCUUAAUUUACAAUAAAAGGAAAAUGAAAAUGCUAACAUGUUGAAAACACCUGAUCCAGCUACUGUCUGUAGCCACCCCGAAACCCAGAUGUAUUUAACUCAACACUUAUUAUAGGUUUGCGUUCUUGUGGAUGGGGGUUGCUUCAAGAGAACAGUGAACUGUAAUAAAAAGGACAGUGAAACUAACUCACACACCUUUAACAAGCAAUUCUUUCACAGAAAAAUAUUCAUACAAAGUUAAAAUCGGAGUUAAGAGUGACUGAUUUGAUGUCUGAUCAAAUGAAAUAGAUAACGGUUAAGAGAUAAUCAUUUGGUCAUUGCCAGGGUACAGUUCGUGACCUUAAGAGGGGUCACCAACUGUAAAAUCCUUUUCUCUUGCACAAUGUAUUGAGACAAAAUAAAAGUGAAUGAAAGGGGAUACAUCGGAGGUGAACGAACAGAGACAGAAGGUAUGGAUAUGGACAGCUGAAGGGACGGAUGUUGUUUUGGAAAACACUGCAGUAAUUUACUCUCUCCCUCUCUCUUCAACAUAGAAACAGCUUGAUUCUCUAGUCUCAGUCUAGCACAGAUUACCCAGAACCUACUUGUGGAACUAGCGACUUCUCAUAGAUUUUUUUGUUCAUAUAUCUUUUUAUUGAAUUACUGUAUUUUUUUCCUCUUCAAAACAUCUGGAUGUAGCUGUUCGAGGACUUGGGGAAUAUCGUCAAUUCUUGAGAGUUAUACAUGCCCAGAAUAAGAGUAACAGCGUAGGAUAUUAAGGGGACUUAUUGUAGCCAUGGCUUUCCUCAAACGUCAAAAGUCGUACCUGUCGACCAGAGUUUUGGCAUAUCCAUUUAAAUUCUGACAGAUGUUCUGAAAAAAAAUGGCAAAAAACAGUUAUUUCACUGACAGACCAGAGAGAAUGUUGAGCCAAGUUACUGACAAUAUAGAGACAGGGUUAGAGAUGGACUUUCACACACACACACACACACACACACACACACACACACACACACACACACACACACACACACACACACACACACACACACACACACAACCUCAAACCCUAGAUAAAAAAUAAAAAAAGGAAAUGAAAGUAAUUAAAGUGUCUUGGCAAAGCUUCAAACACUGUGUGGGCGGCUAGCUUCUCAACACGACGCAUAUUAAUCAAUAUUAGAUCCAUGGAAACACUGACAUGGUUAAACUUUCUACAGACUAGUUUCCCAGAGAGAAGAAAAAGGUCCCAUAUUUACUUGGUACCUCAGAAUGACACCUUUUAGAUAUGUAUAUUACCUAUGUAAGGUUAAGUAUUACUGUUUAAGACCGCAUCGCGCUUAGUUAGGCUAGUUCCAAGGUUAUAAUUAGCCUGGCUACCAGUCUCUUAGUUAGGCUAGCUCCAAGGUUAUCAUUAGCCUGGGUACCAGUCUCUUAGUUAGGCUAGCUCCAAGGUUAUCAUUAGCCUGGGUACCAGCCUCUAGCGUAUCCACUCCCUAUACACAAAUCAAAUCAACAUAUUAAUUGUUAACGUACACGUGUUUAGCAGAUGUUAUUGCGGGUGUAGCAAAAUACUCCAUGUCACGUGCCAAAGAUGGUAACGGCAAGGAGUGGAAUGUUAGCUAAGAGAGACUGGUACUCAGACUAGGUUAUCAUGACAGUUCUAUGUUCCAUUAUAGAACGGUUGGGGUGACUGUUCUAUGUUUUUGAAUUCCAUGUUCCUAGCCUAGGUGAUAGAUCUACAGUAUCUUUCCCUUGCAACAGUUGCCCCACCCCCCCGAACAGAAAUAUGGCCUUUCAGUAUAGAUAGCCAGCGUAAACUGAUAAUGGCUCUUAGGACUGGGACCCUAUUCUCCCAGGGUUUAGAGAGCCCAAACAAAACUGUGUAGCCUAUU
RNAcentral lists this long non-coding RNA (2128 nucleotides) under Salmo salar (Atlantic salmon). RNAcentral describes it as "lncRNA (ENSSSAG00000084156.1)". Lineage: Eukaryota; Metazoa; Chordata; Actinopteri; Salmoniformes; Salmonidae. The record is from RNAcentral.